AGAGUUUGAUCCUGGCUCAGGACGAACGCUGGCGGCGUGCUUAACACAUGCAAGUCGAACGGAAAGGCCCUUCGGGGUACUCGAGUGGCGAACGGGUGAGUAACACGUGGGUGAUCUGCCCUGCACUUUGGGAUAAGCCUGGGAAACUGGGUCUAAUACCGAAUAUGACCAUGCACUUCCUGGUGUGUGGUGGAAAGCUUUUGCGGUGUGGGAUGGGCCCGCGGCCUAUCAGCUUGUUGGUGGGGUAAUGGCCUACCAAGGCGACGACGGGUAGCCGGCCUGAGAGGGUGACCGGCCACGCUGGGACUGAGAUACGGCCCAGACUCCUACGGGAGGCAGCAGUGGGGAAUAUUGCACAAUGGGCGCAAGCCUGAUGCAGCGACGCCGCGUGAGGGAUGACGGCCUUCGGGUUGUAAACCUCUUUCAGCACAGACGAAGCGCAAGUGACGGUAUGUGCAGAAGAAGGACCGGCCAACUACGUGCCAGCAGCCGCGGUAAUACGUAGGGUCCGAGCGUUGUCCGGAAUUACUGGGCGUAAAGAGCUCGUAGGUGGUUUGUCGCGUUGUUCGUGAAAACUCACAGCUUAACUGUGGGCGUGCGGGCGAUACGGGCAGACUUGAGUACUGCAGGGGAGACUGGAAUUCCUGGUGUAGCGGUGGAAUGCGCAGAUAUCAGGAGGAACACCGGUGGCGAAGGCGGGUCUCUGGGCAGUAACUGACGCUGAGGAGCGAAAGCGUGGGGAGCGAACAGGAUUAGAUACCCUGGUAGUCC
RNAcentral lists this ribosomal RNA (771 nucleotides) under uncultured bacterium. Its description in RNAcentral is "bacterial SSU rRNA". It matches the Rfam family "Bacterial small subunit ribosomal RNA", at positions 8 to 796 of the family's 1533-position model. The record is from RNAcentral.